RNAcentral lists this long non-coding RNA (525 nucleotides) under Capra hircus (goat). RNAcentral describes it as "lncRNA (ENSCHIG00000005934.1)". Lineage: Eukaryota; Metazoa; Chordata; Mammalia; Artiodactyla; Bovidae. The record is from RNAcentral.
AUCACGGUCGGGCGCCGUGCAGCAGCAGCACCAUGCGCCUGGGACGGCUCCACCAGGCGCUCAGCUCGGGCAGUGGCGCCUCCCCCACCUCAUCAGCUGUUUCCGUGUCUGCUGCAAUGCGUCUGUGAAGCUCUGACAUUGUGUUCCAGUGAGGGACAGGAUUCGGGUUCACGAGUAGAAGAGCGUGCCGAGGAAUGUCCACCAGUCAGGGAGCAGAAACCAUGGACCAGCACAAGCGGAAUGUUUCUGUCCCCAGGAUGGACUGACCUCACCCCUAGACGGCGGCAUUUCACGUUGCCUCUUCCUGCACAACGUACAUGUUUCUGCUGAGAAGUCACCCUCUUGGAAAAUACUUCCUGGCCUUAGAAUAGGUUUCACCCUUGUUAUGCUUUCUUUUCCUUCAAAUUGCAUGAUUUAUAUCUUCCCAGCUCUUUCUUGGAAAUUGAAGUGGUUAUUUACCUGUUUGUCUGCCUCUCCCACUAGAAUUUAAGUUUCAUGGGAACAAAGACUGUGCGUAUCUUGGCC